CAGAGGUGGCAAGCGUUGUUCGGAAUUACUGGGCGUAAAGGGCGCGUAGGCGGCCAUCUAAGUCAGACGUGAAAUCCCCCGGCUUAACCUGGGAACUGCGUCUGAUACUGGACGGCUCGAGUUUGGGAGAGGGAUGUGGAAUUCCAGGUGUAGCGGUGAAAUGCGUAGGUAUCUGGAGGAACACCGGUGGCGAAGGCGGCAUCCUGGACCAACACUGACGCUGAGGCGCGAAAGCUAGGGGAGCAAACGGGAUUAGAUACCCCGGUAGUCCUAGCCCUAAACGAUGAAUGCCUGGUGUGGCGGGUAUCGAUCCCUGCCGUGCCGAAGCUAACGCAUUAAGCAUUCCGCCUGGGGAGUACGGUCGCAAGGCUG
RNAcentral lists this ribosomal RNA (372 nucleotides) under uncultured organism. RNAcentral describes it as "bacterial SSU rRNA". It matches the Rfam family "Bacterial small subunit ribosomal RNA", at positions 526 to 896 of the family's 1533-position model. The record is from RNAcentral.